UGGGGAACCUGCCCCAUAGUCUGGGAUACCACUUGGAAACAGGUGCUAAUACCGGAUAAGAAAGCGGAUCGCAUGAUCAGCUUUUAAAAGGCGGCGUAAGCUGUCGCUAUGGGAUGGCCCCGCGGUGCAUUAGCUAGUUGGUAAGGUAAAGGCUUACCAAGGUGAUGAUGCAUAGCCGAGUUGAGAGACUGAUCGGCCACAUUGGGACUGAGACACGGCCCAAACUCCUACGGGAGGCAGCAGCC
RNAcentral lists this ribosomal RNA (245 nucleotides) under uncultured Lactobacillus sp. RNAcentral's name for it is "partial 16S ribosomal RNA". It matches the Rfam family "Bacterial small subunit ribosomal RNA", at positions 118 to 355 of the family's 1533-position model. The record is from RNAcentral. Lineage: Bacteria; Bacillati; Bacillota; Bacilli; Lactobacillales; Lactobacillaceae.